This 254-nucleotide ribosomal RNA is filed under the name uncultured bacterium. Its description in RNAcentral is "partial 16S ribosomal RNA". It matches the Rfam family "Bacterial small subunit ribosomal RNA", at positions 524 to 776 of the family's 1533-position model. The record is from RNAcentral.
UACGGGGGGAGCAAGCGUUGUUCGGAUUUACUGGGCGUAAAGGGCGCGUAGGCGGUCAGCACAAGUCAGUUGUGAAAUCUCCGGGCUUAACUCGGAAAGGUCAACUGAUACUGUGCGACUAGAGUGCGGAAGGGGCAACUGGAAUUCUCGGUGUAGCGGUGAAAUGCGUAGAUAUCGAGAGGAACACCGGUGGCGAAGGCGGUCUGCUGGGCAGUUGCUGACGCUGAUGCGCGACAGCGUGGGGAGCAAACAGG